This 31-nucleotide non-coding RNA is filed under the name Rattus norvegicus (Norway rat). The record is from RNAcentral. Lineage: Eukaryota; Metazoa; Chordata; Mammalia; Rodentia; Muridae.
UGGCAGUUGGAAGAAUCAGAAUUUUGAAGGG